RNAcentral lists this ribosomal RNA (482 nucleotides) under uncultured bacterium. RNAcentral's name for it is "bacterial SSU rRNA". It matches the Rfam family "Bacterial small subunit ribosomal RNA", at positions 29 to 512 of the family's 1533-position model. The record is from RNAcentral.
AACUAACGCUGGCGGCGUGCCUAACACAUGCAAGUCGUACGAGAAAGUCGGCUUCGGCUGAUGAGUAAAGUGGCGCACGGGUGAGUAACGCGUGGAUAAUCUGCCCUUUAGUUGGGAAUAACGUACCGAAAGGUGCGCUAAUACCGAAUAAUGCUGAGUGACAUCAGUUAUUUAGCCAAAGAAGGCCUCUGCUUGCAAGCUUUCGCUGAAGGAUGAGUCCGCGUACCAUUAGCUAGUUGGUAGGGUAAUGGCCUACCAAGGCGACGAUGGUUAGCUGGUCUGAGAGGAUGAUCAGCCACACUGGAACUGAGACACGGUCCAGACUCCUACGGGAGGCAGCAGUGAGGAAUAUUGGUAAUGGGCGAAAGCCUGAACCAGCAACGCCGCGUGUGCGAUGAAGGCCUUCGGGUCGUAAAGCACUUUUGGUAGGGAUGAGGAAGGACAGUACCUCCAGAAUAAGCCUCGGCUAACUACGUGCCAGC